AUGGGAAGGUGGUGGGGUGCUCGACCCCACGACCCCGCGGCGUCUGCAGCUGCUGAGCUUUCGCGGAGACCAAGGCUCGAGCCAGGAGCUGGAGGAGCGGCCUUUACUAGGGGCCGGGCAGGACGCGGGGGCCAGUGCGGGGGCUCCAGGCAGGACGCGGGGGCCAGUGCGGGGGCCGGCAGGACGCGGGGGGCAGAUUCGGAGGAGGGGCCGCCCGGCCGUCCUGGAAGCCGUGGGCCCCCUCGGUGCUGGGCAAGCCCAGGCGGACGCAUCCGGGCCCGGGGCAUCGCCGUAGGUCCCGCGGGGGCACUGCCGGGGUGCCGGCUGGGCGCGAGCGUGGGGUCCCCGGGGUGCCGGCGGGGCGCGAGCGUGGGGUCCCCGGGGUGCCGGCUGGGCGCGAGCGUGGAGUCCCGGGGUGCCGGCUGGGGGCGAGCGUGGGGUCCCCGGGGUGCCGGCGGGGCGCGAGCGUGGGGUCCCGGGGUGCCGGCGGGGCGCGAGCGUGGGUCCCGGGGUGCCGGCUGGGCGCGAGCGUGGGGUCCCCGGGGUGCCGGCGGGGCGCGAGCGUGGGGUCCCCGGGGUGCCGGCUGGGCGCGAGCGUGGAGUCCCGGGGUGCCGGCUGGGGGCGAGCGUGGGGUCCCCGGGGUGCCGGCGGGGCGCGAGCGUGGGGUCCCGGGGUGCCGGCGGGGCGCGAGCGUGGGUCCCGGGGUGCCGGCUGGGCGCGAGCGUGGGGUCCCCGGGGUGCCGGCGGGGCGCGAGCGUGGGGUCCCCGGGGUGCCGGCGGGGCGCGAGCGUGGGGUCCCGGGGUGCCGGCGGGGCGCGAGCGUGGGGUCCCCGGGGUGCCGGCAGGGCGCGAGCGUGGGGUCCCGGGGUGCCGGCUGGGCGCGAGCGUGGGGUCCCCGGGGUGCCGGCGGGGCGCGAGCGUGGGGUCCCCGGGGUGCCGGCGGGGCGCGAGCGUGGGGUCCCGGGGUGCCGGCGGGGCGCGAGCGUGGGUCCCGGGGUGCCGGCUGGGCGCGAGCGUGGGGUCCCCGGGGUGCCGGCGGGGCGCGAGCGUGGGGUCCCGGGGUGCCGGCGGGGCGCGAGCGUGGGUCCCGGGGUGCCGGCUGGGCGCGAGCGUGGGGUCCCCGGGGUGCCGGCGGGGCGCGAGCGUGGGGUCCCCGGGGUGCCGGCGGGGCGCGAGCGUGGGGUCCCCGGGGUGCCGGCGGGGCGCGAGCGUGGGGUCCCGGGGUGCCGGCGGGGCGCGAGCGUGGGGUCCCCGGGGUGCCGGCGGGGCGCGAGCGUGGGGUCCCGGGGUGCCGGCUGGGCGCGAGCGUGGGUCCCGGGGUGCCGGCUGGGCACGAGCGUGGGGUCCCGGGGUGCCGGCUGGGGGCGAGCGUGGGGUCCCGGGGUGCCGGCGGGGCGCGAGCGUGGGGUCCCGGGGUGCCAGCUGGGGGCGAGCGUGGGGUCCCCGGGGUGCCGGCAGGGCGCGAGCGUGGGGUCCCGGGGUGCCGGCUGGGCGCGAGCGUGGGGUCCCCGGGGUGCCGGCGGGGCGCGAGCGUGGGGUCCCCGGGGUGCCGGCGGGGCGCGAGCGUGGGGUCCCCGGGGUGCCGGCGGGGCGCGAGCGUGGGUCCCGGGGUGCCGGCGGGGCGCGAGCGUGGGUCCCGGGGUGCCGGCUGGGCACGAGCGUGGGGUCCCGGGGUGCCGGCUGGGGGCGAGCGUGGGGUCCCGGGGUGCCGGCGGGGCGCGAGCGUGGGGUCCCCGGGGUGCCGGCGGGGCGCGAGCGUGGGGUCCCGGGGUGCCGGCGGGGCGCGAGCGUGGGGUCCCGGGGUGCCGGCGGGGCGCGAGCGUGGGUCCCAGGGUGCCGGCGGGGCGCGAGCGUGGAGUCCCGGGGUGCCGGCGGGGCGCGAGCGUGGGGUCCCCGGGGUGCCGGCGGGGCGCGAGCGUGGGGUCCCGGGGUGCCGGCUGGGGGCGAGCGUGGGGUCCCCGGGGUGCCGGCGGGGCGCGAGCGUGGGGUCCCCGGGGUGCCGGCUGGGGGCGAGCGUGGGGUCCCCGGGGUGCCGGCGGGGCGCGAGCGUGGGGGUCCCCGGGGUGCCGGCUGGGGGCGAGCGUGGGGUCCCGGGGUGCCGGCUGGGCGCGAGCGUGGGGUCCCGGGGUGCCGGCUGGGGGCGAGCGUGGGGUCCCCGGGGUGCCGGCGGGGCGCGAGCGUGGGGUCCCCGGGGUGCCAGCGGGGCGCGAGCGUGGGGUCCCGGGGUGCCGGCUGGGCGCGAGCGUGGGGUCCCGGGGUGCCGGCUGGGGGCGAGCGUGGGGUCCCCGGGGUGCCGGCGGGGCGCGAGCGUGGGGUCCCCGGGGUGCCAGCGGGGCGCGAGCGUGGGGUCCCGGGGUGCCGGCUGGGCGCGAGCGUGGGGUCCCGGGGUGCCGGCUGGGCGCGAGCGUGGGGUCCCGGGGUGCCGGCUGGGGGCGAGCGUGGGGUCCCCGGGGUGCCGGCGGGGCGCGAGCGUGGGGUCCCGGGGUGCCGGCGGGGCGCGAGCGGGGUCCCCGCGGGGCGCGAGCGUGGGGGCCGGUCCGGGGGGUGGGGGCGCCGGCGGCCCGGGGGAGGGGAGCAGCGGGCCCCCGGAGCAAUGCCGGCGCCAGUCGUGGGGCGCCGCGGGGAGCAGGGCAGGGUGUGCGGGAGCCGGUGCCUUGGAGCCCCGUACCCCUACACUCUGA
Molecule: long non-coding RNA, 2682 nt
Filed under: Canis lupus dingo (dingo)
Lineage: Eukaryota; Metazoa; Chordata; Mammalia; Carnivora; Canidae
Description: lncRNA (ENSCAFG00020026314.1)
Source: RNAcentral